This is a long non-coding RNA of Eurytemora carolleeae, 248 nucleotides long. RefSeq lists it as uncharacterized. The record is from RefSeq and is a predicted model, not a curated record. The transcript is spliced from 3 exons. Lineage: Eukaryota; Metazoa; Arthropoda; Copepoda; Calanoida; Temoridae.
UUGAAAUAUUAAAGGUUAACACCAUGAGGCUGCAAAGGUAUAGGGAAUGAAAAAUUAAAUUUAUUGGCAGAAGCUCAGUUUUGUUUACAGGAAGUUUUUCAGGAAAAAUGGAUCAGUUCGGAGACACAUGACAACAUAUCUUUCAGAGGAGGUGAAUACCUAUACCCUUGAAGUAUCUCUCCUAGGUUACGAGGACAGGGAAAGUCAGAAAAUUGUACCGUACACGGAUGUACUGUACUCCAUGGUUG